This is a long non-coding RNA of Clupea harengus (Atlantic herring), 8772 nucleotides long. Lineage: Eukaryota; Metazoa; Chordata; Actinopteri; Clupeiformes; Clupeidae. The record is from Ensembl.
GCAGAGCAAACACUGGUAGCUAAACAGGUUAUGUAACUCUACAUCAAACUGUAUUCGUAGAAACGGUGUUGUCCUUUGUCUUUGAAAAAUCGAUCAGUCUACCUUAUAUACGAUGUAUCACCUGUUUGACUGAUAGGUCACAUGUGGUUGGUGUGGGCCUCUGAGCACAGCUCCAGUUGUUUGACUGAUAGGUCACAUGUGGUUGGUGUGGGCCUCUGAGCACAGCUCCAGUUGUUUGACUGAUAGGUCACAUGUGGUUGGUGUGGGCCUCUGAGCACAGCUCCAGUUAGUCUGCUACUAGAGAAUACAUCUACAAGGGCAUCACAGGCUUUUGCCAAGAUCAAGCAUCAUUGCCAAGGGUGGCACAGUGCCUGUAAGGGUGUGUGAUGUGUAGCCGGAAUGACUAAUCCUACUAACACACUGCUGAAAGUGGGUGGGGAACCAUAAUUUCCUUUCAGUUGAUUCACUUUCCCUUGAUCAACGCCAGGGCAGCAACGGAUGCCAGCUCUCCACCAACAUUUGUAUUAUGAUAAGUUGUGAAACACAAGCAUUUCUACAUUUGCACAAUAUUUGAAUUGUCUUUCAUUCGGCAGUGAUUCAAAAAUGACGUGAACCCAAAAUACAUUCCUGAUUAUCCCCAAAUACUCUUUGACUGUCAUGAGUUCAAAACAUGUUUUUGUUGUGUUCUGUGUGAGUUUCGUUGCUUUGUAAUGAGUCCAUCCUAUGCAGUUUAUUCAUAUGAUACAUUUACAUUUGGCCAUUUGAAAAACACUUUAGUCCAAAGCAACUUACACGAUAAUGUGCCAGUUAUACUGCCAUACUCCUAAAAGGCUGUGCACGUUAUAUUAUGUUAAACAUUUAUGUAGAAUAUAUCAUUGUAUUCAUGAUUGAAACUGCUUUAUAAUGUUGGGGGUUUGGUGUUCACCCCUCUCUGUGAACCAUCACUCAGCUCUAGUAACCCUCAGUUGGGCUUGCUCAUUUGGGGUAGGGAAGAGCAAGGGAGAGCCACAGAGCAGAGUGCACAAGAACAAUGGAUCUAAGUGAAGGAGAUGUCCCAGUCUGUAGAGAGGCUUGGGAUCUAAGUGAAGAUGUCCCAGUCUGUAGAGUGGCUUGGGAUCUAAGUGAAGGAGAUUUCCCAGUCUGUAGAGAGGCUUGGGAUUGCUAAAAGUUCUUGUCCAAAGCUAAGCAAGGUCGUCAUAUUUGGACCUCUGUGCCUAUCAUUGCCUAGUUUUUUUUAUCUCCCUGGGACCAUUUUAGUUUAUGUUGUGAGCAACCUGGCUCAUCUGGACUAAUAAAUAAAUCGAUAUUUUUGUACUGGACUGCCAUCUCCUGCCACUUUCUCUCCUCGUCACUACCUCAUGCAGUGAUGCACUUCUCAGAGCGUGGGGUGCCCCCCUUCAUCGCUCACAGAGCUCAAUGGUUAAUGAAAUUACACUCCUCCCUUCCAUUGUCUUUCAGGAAAUGAUGAACUACAGUCUUGGACAGCAUGCUUGUCUGUGGAAUUUCAAGUUCUUCCACAUUGCUGAACACAAGAAUAGCUGCAACAGCGUAGGAUAGCAUAGCAGCAUUCAUGCCCAAAAGGCAAUUUCUGAAAACAAAUUUAACAAGAGUACCUCCGCCAAGGGAAAUGCCGUAUCUCGCUACGUUAGCGGAAGCUAAACUAAAUAUGCGCAGUCAUCCAGUGAGGCAGAUCCGCUCCAAAAUGUAAAGUUUUGUUUGUUUUUUAAGGCCAGGUCUUGCAUUUUGCAUUUGUGCCAUUAACUGUCUGUUUACCUUUCAAAUACCCUGUUCUACAUCUUUUAUACAGCCCGUGCUUGGACCCACACAUCAUUGACAAGGUUAAUUUAAGCCAGGUCCUAAGAAUCAUAGGGGUAUUUUCUGUUGAACUUUCUUUUUCCGUAAUGUCCUUUCAGAGUAUUUUGCAUGACAGUGCCACGAAAAGUGUGAGUCUGUCUAAAAUAUAUUAUUAAAUUAAUUUAAUUAAGAUAUUGUUGUCCGUGACACCACUAGCCCAGCUGAAGUAUAGCCUUUGAGACACUGAGUUUGCUCUGAGUCAGACUCACACAUUCUUGCUUGCUCGCACACACACAAAGCAGUAGCUUAAAGCAAAAUGUAACCUGCUGUUUCUAAAAUAACUCAUGAAAUAAUCAUUUUGGUGGUACACUGCCUUGUAAUACAGAGAAUGGCAUCUGUGCCACUGCCACAGCACGCCUGGUGCGCCUGGUAUUGUCCUAUGUAACUUUGGGGUACAGGCCAGGGCACGAGACCUCUCACGAGAACUUCAUAAUGCUUUAUGGCACCAUCUCAUGCACCAACAACUAGAUCCUUCCCAUGCACUAGCUAUAAGAGGAAGACAGCACAGUAUUCUCUGUAUGGACAUCAUGGCAGAAGCAACGAAGAAACCGAGGUAGACGUUGUCGGAGGAAGCAGGAAGAGAAAAAGAGAGUAACCAAGCAAGAAACAGAAAAAGAGUCGCAGAGCUAAAAGUUACAAAAGGAUGCAAGUCAGAUGCUGAGCUGGCCUUCUUUCUGUUGGACUAGUCAGUAAUAACUUAGUAGCUGUCUUGCUAUGUCUUGUGUUGUACUUGCGUGAUGUUUGGCUGUGUUAUGAAAGUUGUCGACAAGCUCGUUUUUCUCCACAAACACCCCUGCCAAUGUAAUUUAUGAAAGAAUUCAACGUAGGCUGUGAAGGAGUUAAAAAAUCAUAAUUAAGGAUCAGAGUUAAUAAUGAUUGACAAUAAUCAAUAAUCCAAUGAAUCGUAGAUUAAUUUGUGUUUGUUGCUUUUAAUUGGACUUAGGUUCAAUUGUAAGAGUUUCUGGCUGAAUAUACUGUUAGAUGAGAUGGCCUGAGAAAGGUGUGAAUGAGUGUUCUCACCACCCCUCCUCUCUUGGUCAUAUCACAGUGUCAUUGAUAUUCCUUAUAACCCAACCCCCAUGAAUGCAGGCCUCUGAGACAUUUGCUCACAGCUGGAUCUCUUAAUCAAUUUCCCCUGUGAACAAAUGUUGUGGACAUUCCUGUCUACGACGGUAGCACACUGAUAUCAUGAAGGGCCGGGGCUAUGGGGUGACACCCCUUAUGCUGUGUAGGAUAUUUAAAUGGAAAUGUUACAAUGGCUGACCAACUGAGACAUAGGUGAAGCUUUUGAGUGAAACCUCUUUCUCUCUCCCUUGAUGUACAUCACUGUAUAAGAUUAAAGCCUGUUUCUUGACUGAUCAUACUCAGACUGGUCUCACCCAAUCUUUUCAUCAGUCAUCCCUAUCUGAUGGAGAUUUGUGGUUUCACCAGAUGCCAAGAGUCCUUGACCUGUCCUGGCUAGCAUCCAAAUAAAUUAAUCUCACGUCAAAAAGUUUGAUCAGUCUUCGUCAAUCUCAUGCCAAUAAGCCUUGGAAGUUUGCAACCUUGAAACUCAGCAACUCAGCUAGCUUGUAAUAAAUGACACACUCCAAAGGAUGUUAAACAUGUUGCCAACAACAUUCUAUUAGAUUACACAUGCUCCACAUUCAAACGCUUAUAAAACAAUGUAUAUAGGCUGAAAAGGUAAGCAGUAUUUCAAUUAAAUUAAAAUGUGUCACUUUGGUUAUGUUAGCGUCUAUCUCUGAUGUCACAAUAAAUACAACUAUGCAGAGUCAUAUUUUUGUGUAAAAUCUUGAGAUAUUACUCUGCCGUUGUCUUUGUCGCAUAUCCUUCAGCUUGUCAACAAAUACACGUGUACCCUGUACAUUGGGGGGUCUCAAAGUGCGAUUUGUAUUGAUGACAGUGGUGUAAAAGUGAGCUACACUCCGCAACUUUAGGGGGGGGGCUCAGUAGCAAAAAAUACCAAUUCUGACAGAAUGGGGCAUUAAGUAAUAUUGCACAAGGGUGUACUCACUUCUUUUGUAUACAGUAUGUUAUGGACACAACAGAGAAUAGACAUACAGCAUAGCAGUGUGUUAUAUGACCGCUGCAUAAAGUAAGAGAAUACGUAAGACAGACAUCCCAUGUUAGCCCAAAAAUUUUCAUUGGACCUUUUGACAAAAUACUUGUUUGAAAUUGGGUAAAUAGCUUCUACAUGCCAUUAUUAACGAGUCUACAUCAAGUUUCAUCAAUAUUGGCCAUUAACACAAGCAUGUAUUAGCUGCUGAAUUUUGAUUGGCCAUAGGUAACCAUUUUGUUGAGCAAGCCGAAUGGAACUUUAGUGUAUAAGCUACCAAACUUCCACAUUUCAUCUUAAGUGGUUCCUGAAAUAUUGACAUGUCAGUUGCAGGGCCCCCUAUAAACGAAAUGUAGUAGUAAUGCAGUGCGUCAAAUUUUGUGAACUUUGAACCUUUACAUCACAAGAUCUUGGCUAGUGAAGCGCUAUAUUUUUGCACUGAACAUUAUUCAUUAAGUGGUGCUACUCCAGAACUGAGUUGUAAUGAGCUAGGGUCAUGCACCUCCUAAAGGGCCAAGUCGCCAUAAAAUGUUUGUAAUUCUGACGAAAUGGUUGUCGAACAAUUACCCAAAAAGUGCUUUGAGUUUACCCCACUUCAGAGGGCGCUAGUCUGUAGGGAGACGCCCCCCUAGGUACACAAACCUUAUAUUCCGUAUCAGCCAUGUAGAGUACAAUCACGCCAAGUGUCAUGCGGAUUGGUGAAGUCUUAAGUAUACUUUAUUAUCAACAAAAAAUCGGUAAAAAAUAAAUAAAGCUUUGACAAAGACUAAAUGACCGUGCUGCAGCGGUCAUAAUUAUUGGUAUCACCAAAGUCCUUAUCACAUGGUCAGCAAGCUAAAGUUAACUUCAGCCAGCUUAUGUAAGACAACUUACCAAUCAAAAUUCCUUUACUUACAAGUUUUUGAAAUUCUAGUUGUUUUAUGGGUGCCUUUUGGCACAGUUGGAUGUGGGCCAAUUUGGGGUGUUUUUGCUCAUAUGUUGUUAUGCCUCAUUACUAUGUUCACAGUCAUCGGCAUUAAUGUGGUAGAUCAUUGGUAGGAACUUGGCAAAGCUGUUUGGACCUGCCUUGGCCCCACAUUCCUCGUGAUGAGAGCAAAUCAAAGAUAGUAAUCGUAUAUUAGGGCCAGAACAAUUUUGCACAACUGGCAUCCUCUGCUUACAACCAAAGCUCAGCUGUUUUGCCUCACACAUAAGGUGCUUAGGAUAACAAAACGUCUGAAACAAAUGAAUAAAUGUAGACUAAAUGUUAGAAGCCACUUAUGGCCCACUUGGGGCAGUGCUGGCGAUCCGCUGCCUUUUGCUUAUCGGUUUUCGGGCAGUCCGCUGGUGAGUUACAGACAAAUGGCCCACUGUUUGGCCAUAGUUUAAAAAAAAUGUCUUUAUUCAUUUUUACUCUUUCAUUGAUUUUCACCAACACUUUAAAAAUUUUAUAGAUGUGACCAUGAGUAACAUGAGUCUUUCAUUUUUCACCUUGAAAGCCUUCUAGUGCCAUGAACCUCUUCUGUCAGAGAGCGAACCAGAAGUGGCUUUUGAAGAUUUCAGCUAGGCCUAGGUUACCUUUUCACAGACUAUCAAGGAAAUUCGAAAGUAGGCUCUCGUUCAAGAACACUAGAUGAGUAAGCUACCAUGAUUAGUGAACCGAUUCCUGAUUGUCCUGAUUCAGAGCAUUUCUAGUGUCUGAGGGCAUUUGUGAGGGUAAAUUGUAGGCAAUUAGCCUACUUCGAACAUUAACAUUAACAGAUGAUAAAUUGCGGACAACUAAUGGCUGUUUAUCAUACUAACUAUAUCAGUUCAUCACCCUUAUCCAUAACCUUGAUCUGCAUAAUCUUUCUAUCAAACACUUACUGUAAUUGUUACCUGUCCACUGCUCUUCACGUCUGGGCUACAACCUGCGCUGUACCUUCUUUGCCAAAAUCAAUGACAACUGCCAUUGGCAAUGUGAGACUUUUGAAUGACAAGUGGACUGCAGAGUUAUAUACUUAUGGGUCAGGAUGGCAGUCUGAGGGACAAUAUGUAUUCAAUGAAAACUCAUCUCUUUCCAGUACUUGACAAUUAAACCACAGCUAUAUUUAAAAUAUUGUUUAGAAAUUGUAUUUAUUUAUUCAUUUUUUGUCACAUUAUGUGGGGUGGGCAUGUGCCCAAUUUGGCUCAAUGUGUGUGAUGCCAAAACCAGUGGAGAUAGGAGUUAGAGGCUUCGCAGCUAAAUCAACCACAUUGCUUAUGUUGGUUUUUGAGGACGGUCACUCAAAGGAGCUAUAAAGGAGUUGUUUUAGGAUGCUGAAAGACCUAGCCAAUGGUUUUGGCCCUUACAGACUACUUGGGGGCAUGUGAAUUAAUCUGUAUUAUAACCUGUAUUAUAACCUGUAUUAUCUGAGGAAGAUGUUCUGGAAGUUGGCAUGCUUAGAGCCUGCGUCAACAGGGCACAGGUAUAGCUGAGGAGGCCUUACGUAGAGCCCCCAUAAUCAACAGGGCAUAAGUAUGCCAGAAGUUAUCAUACAAAGAGCUACCAGCAAAUGGUGAAUAAAAAUGCAGAGAAUAGAAUAUAGAUGGCCAAAAUGUUGUAUACCAGUUAGAAAUAACUGUAUUAUUCUGUGAAUUUGUUCUUAGCACAAUAAGAGCUUGUUUGGAGGAAUGUGUUUCAUCCGAGCAGACAAAACAACCAGCCAAUAAUGGAUCCUAUAUGACUCAGUCAAUUGCGGCAUUCAAGAUGAGGAAAUCCAUGAAGGACACAUGAUAUGACACAAGUACACUUAAAAUGAAACUUUGUUGAAUUGUUCCACCAUUUGUAAUCUUUUGGUAUGCUAAGAUUUAAAGUUUGUGGUGGCCUCAGGCAACUGUCUAAUUACAAUUAAUUCUGGUUAGGUAUUUAAUUAAAACUGCAAAAUAAAAACACUACUGUUUUAUUAAACAGUAGGAUAAAUUACAUAGCCAUGAAAUUGCAGAAGAACCACUAUGCAUUUUAGGAUUCAUUUUCUUCUAUUUGGUUAGAUUAAAUACAUCUAAAUAUUAGACAAGUGUAAGUGACAUAGUGUAAGUGCCCUCUAACUGCAAUAAGUGGCCCUCACAAGUAAAAAGAAUCACGAAUGGAAACACAAUUGCAUGGAUUGCAAUUGCUGACAGGAAAUCAAAUCAAAUCAAACUUUAUUUACGGCGCAUUUCAUACCAAGAGGUAAUGCAAUGCGCUUCACAGAAGGAACUUGUCUACAAGGUCUACAACCACUCAAAAAACCUGCAAAAUAGUAUACAUAUUUGGGUGGUUUAACAACCAAUAUCAGUGCUGCAGCAGUUACUCAAAGGUAAGUAAAUUAAGUGACCAAGAGAUGGCCAGACAUAAAAAAGCGAACAAAAGAAAAGGUUGCUUUAAACAUGUCACAAAUGAGAAAUUCGAAAAAACAGUCUAUUUCAUAUAGGCUACUAGUGACAACCAUUUAUUUUUUUCGUUUUGCCUUCCAUGAAAAGUCGUCACUUUUUAAAGAUGAGGCAUUGUUUGGGAAACACGCAUUCAACGACAAAGUGAAAGUUAGAUGACAGAGGCUGGCCCACUAUGAGUCCAAGAUGAACUGAAACCGCACAAUGAUUAAGUUAUUCUUCAGAUAUUCUUCGACUGAUAUAGAAAUUUAGUAAUAUAGACCUAUUGCACCUCUGCCCACGAAAUGGACUUGAUUUGGGCAGCCGAACAUGGCAAACUGGUUCUCAACGACUGUGAUCAUGAAUAAAAAAUGACCGAUGCCUCUUCUGUGCACUCUGAUAUGGUCACUUAUUCUGCUACCUCUUGGGUUUGGCUGCGAAAGCCAAAAGUCCAAAGAAGACAUUGCAAUGGAUUAUUCCAACAUCAUACAAAAACGUAUCGAGAACAUUUUAAAUGACAGAGAACUGAGUGAAACAACCUGCAAACCGGCCAACAGAAACGAAUGCAAGAAUGUCUCACCACAGAUUCUGAACAGAGUGGUUUGUAGACAUUCAAAGACAGAUUUUUAUCACAUGACUUCCCAAGUGAAAACCCUCACAGAGUUAAUACAUGUUUCCUUCGGAUGCGCAUGCGAAGAGAAGGAUGGGAAAAAAAAGCCACAGCGGAGCUUGCAGAGGAAACUUUGCACACUGAAACACUGGCUGGAGAGGAUAAAGGACCUAUACAGUCAGUUCAACUCUUCUUGAGUUAAAGGACAGCAGGACAUUUUCAUGAUGAGUCAAGGCUGUCAAUGUAAACUUAACUGUGCAACCACUACUUAUGGACAGAGGAAGGACACUUGUUCAGAGAGGAAAGAAGAGGCCACUUCUCUUGCGCUUCUGGCCAAAUACAUGGAGAAAACGACUGUGCGAAUGUAUAUCAGUGACUUUGGUUGAUGGAUGGUGGAACCCUUUCUUGACUACCGUUUUUGGUUUCAAGACAACCUUUUUUUCUCACACAGCCACUCCACCAAGAAAGUGCUUUAUUGCUGAUAAAACCAGUGUAGAAAAUGCCUAAACUUGCCAGCACCAUUUAGGAUGGAUAUCAAGCCAUAUGUAUGUAAGAACUGUAACUAGAAGAUGUACAAAUUUAAAUGACAGUAGACUAUGAACACUGCAUUACUGAAGAAUACAUACCUGUACAUGACGUAACAAGUCUCUCGUGUUAUAGCCAUUCACUCUCUCACACACUAUGUAACUAUGCAGUCUGUGUGAUUAUGCUAUGUUAAAAAUUGCAUGGUAGAGAAUACUCAUUUUAAUACAUAAAAAAUAAUACAACUUUUUGUUAUGAGUAAUACAUGUUAAACCAAUUUAGUAGUGUUAGGGAGUUAGGAGAGCAUUGGGUUAAUUUUGAUGCUGAACAAUAUCAAAAAGUAUCACAAUAGACUACACUCAGUCAAUCCAGAUUCAGCAAG